This 471-nucleotide ribosomal RNA is filed under the name uncultured bacterium. RNAcentral's name for it is "bacterial SSU rRNA". It matches the Rfam family "Bacterial small subunit ribosomal RNA", at positions 20 to 518 of the family's 1533-position model. The record is from RNAcentral.
UGGCUCAGAACGAACGCUGGCGGCAUGGAUUAGGCAUGCAAGUCGAACGAAGCAGCAAUGCUUAGUGGCGCAAGGGUGAGGAACACGUGAGUGACCUACCCGCAAGUUUGGAACAGCUCCUGGAAACGGGAAUUAAUACCGGAUGUGAUCAUGAGUCUGCAUGGAUUCAUGAUUAAAGCAGUAAUGCGCUUGCGGAUGGGCUCGCGUCCCAUUAGCUAGUUGGUGAGGUAACGGCCCACCAAGGCCAUGAUGGGUAGCUGGUCUGAGAGGACGACCAGCCACACUGGGACUGAGAACUGCCCAGACUCCUACGGGAGGCUGCAGUCGAGAAUUUUGGGCAAUGGACGAAAGUCUGACCCAGCAAUGCCGCGUGCGGGAUGAAGGUCUUCGGAUUGUAAACCGCUGUUUGGAGGGACGAAAAUUGACGGUACUUCCAGAGGAAGCCACGGCUAACUACGUGCCAGCAGCGGC